CCUACGGGGGGCAGCAGUGAGGAAUAUUGGUCAAUGGACGAGAGUCUGAACCAGCCAAGUAGCGUGAAGGAUGACUGCCCUAUGGGUUGUAAACUUCUUUUAUAUGGGAAUAAAAUGUUCCACGUGUGGGAUUUUGUAUGUACCAUAUGAAUAAGGAUCGGCUAACUCCGUGCCAGCAGCCGCAGUAAUACGGAGGAUCCGAGCGUUAUCCGGAUUUAUUGGGUUUAACGGGAGCGUAGGUGGAUUGUUAAGUCAGUUGUGAAAGUUUGCGGCUCAACCGUAAAAUUGCAGUUGAAACUGGCAGUCUUGAGUACAGUAGAGGUGGGCGGAAUUCGUGGUGUAGCGGUGAAAUGCUUAGAUAUCACGAAGAACUCCGAUUGCGAAGGCAGUUCACUGGACUGCAACUGACACUGAGGCUCGAAAGUGUGGGUAUCAAACAGGAUUAGAUACCCUUGUAGUC
Molecule: ribosomal RNA, 460 nt
Filed under: uncultured bacterium
Lineage: Bacteria
Description: partial 16S ribosomal RNA
Rfam family: Bacterial small subunit ribosomal RNA
Source: RNAcentral